AAGUAAAAAAUUAUUAAUUUUAAUUUUUUUUUUUGUUAAUUAAUAUAAGUAAAUUUAAUUUUAUAUUUUUUUGUAUAGUUUAUAGAUUAAAUAAUUUUUAUAAUAGUAAAAUAGUAUUGUGGAAGAAAUUUGAAAAAUUAUUUAUUUAUUUGAAAGUAAAAUUUAAUUUUUGUACCUUUUGUAUCAGGGUUUAUUAAUUAAGAAUUAAUGAUUUAAUAUUCUCGAAUUAAAAGGAGCUAAUGAAUUAUGAUAGUUUUUGUUUUAUAACAAUUAUUAAUUAUUUAUUAGAAAUGAAAUGUUAUUCGUCUUUUAAGAUAUCUAGUUUUUUAAGAAAUAAAUUUAAUUUAUAUAUUAUUUAGAUAAUUAUUUUAUUUGCUAAUUAAUUAUUAUUUAAUAUAAAUAUAUUAAGGGAUAAGCUUUAAUAUAGUGAUUAUAAUUUUAUUAUUAUAUUAUUAAUUGUAGAUUUAGAAAUGGUUAACAAUAAAAAUUUUGUAUUAAUUUAUAUGAAUAAUUAUAAUAUUUUAAAAAAUUUAAUUUAAGUAUUAAAAUGUAAAUUUGAAUAAUAAAAAUUUAGUAAUAAUGAUGAAAUUAGUAUAUAAGUGAAGUUUGAAUGAAGAUAUUUAUUAAGAUUAAUAUAAGGAAUUCGGCAAAAUAGUAUUCACCUGUUUAACAAAAACAUGUCUUUUAGAUAAUAAUUUAAAGUCUGGCCUGCCCACUGAAUAUAAUUUUAAAGGGCCGCGGUAUUUUGACUGUGCAAAGGUAGCAUAAUCAUUAGUCUUUUAAUUGAAGGCUUGUAUGAAUGGUUGGAUGAAAUAUUAACUGUCUCGUGUUAAUAAGAUAGAAUUUAAUUUUUAAGUUAAAAAGCUUAAAUAUGAUUAGAGGACGAGAAGACCCUAUAGAUUUUUAUAAUUUUUUAUUUAUAAAUAAUUUAGUUGAGAGAAAUUUUUAAUUAAGAAAUUAUUUUAUUGGGGUGAUAAAUAAAUUUAAUAAACUUUAUAAAAUAUAAACAUUAAUGUAUGAAUUUUUGAUCCAUUUUUAGUGAUUAUAAGAUUAAAUUACCUUAGGGAUAACAGCGUAAUUUUUUUAGAGAGUUCAUAUCGAUAAAAAAGUUUGCGACCUCGAUGUUGAAUUAAAGAUUAAUUUAGGUGUAGAAGUUUAAAUUUUUGGUCUGUUCGACCAUUGAAUCUUUACAUGAUUUGAGUUCAAACCGGCGUGAGCCAGGUUGGUUUCUAUCCUUAAUAAAUGAAGAUAUUUUAGUACGAAAGGACCAAAUAUUUGGAAAAAUUUUUAUGUUUAAGAAUAAUAUUAAUU
This 1311-nucleotide ribosomal RNA is filed under the name Corydalus sp. 1 YLJ-2021a. RNAcentral's name for it is "16S ribosomal RNA". The stretch from base 616 to 1311 matches the Rfam family "Archaeal large subunit ribosomal RNA", at positions 1424 to 2823 of the family's 2987-position model. The record is from RNAcentral. Lineage: Eukaryota; Metazoa; Arthropoda; Insecta; Megaloptera; Corydalidae.